UGCAUCUGAUGGUGCCAUUAUGAAGAUGAACUGUUAACUAAAUUGCUUUGGUGGAAUAUGUAUGCUAGGGAAGAGAGCGUGCUGGCCCUUCUCAAAGUGUCCCAUGAAAAAGUUAUUCCACACCUCCUCCCUGACCUUGUCGUGCAGACGCUUCCAGGAUGAACUCCAACUCGCCGAGCCACCGCAGCUCCUCAGCUGACUAAAAGAGUUAAUGAUCCUCCAGGUUAAAACUCCUCCUUGAGCACACACCUUCUCUCAACAAAUGACAAUACUUGGCAAACUGAACUCCUCCCACGAGUCGCCCUCUGCUAGGAGGAAUUGCUGGCUGCUCCCUGCUUAUUGCAUUCUCUCAGAGCAGCUGUCUCAAAGGAGGCUGCUCCCAUGCCGAUCUUUUUGUGCCCAACUUACAGGGAAAGAACUCAUUGCCUGCCCAGUGCCUGCCAGCCUCAGACUUCUGACUGCAAAUCCAACAGGACAAUACAGAGUUGGCAGGACCCUUCUCAGGAGUGAGGAGCGGGUGCAAGAACUCCCAGGUCACUGCUUUAUUCAGAGGACCUAAGGAAUUGGGUUGAGCGGAAGCGCACAGAGCUGCAGAUUUUCUUUGAUGAAUGAAAGCUUCAAUCCACAGGUUUCUAAUAGUACUCUCAUUCAUUUUGCUUACAAAAGGUACAGAUUAUCACUAAUCCUCUUCAAAAGGUAUUUGUAAUCACAUUUCCUUGUAUAUGCAAAAAAAAUUCUAUUUAAAGUGUAUGUGAAAUUAAGUUUACUUUUUUGAAACACAUGUAGAAAAAGAACAAAGGUAUCAUCAAACUAGUCUAUGUAGUCUCCUUUCACUAAAAUAUUGAUGGUUCAACACUUAAGGAAGUCUAGAAAUAAAAUAUUCAAAUGAC
This 890-nucleotide long non-coding RNA is filed under the name Homo sapiens (human). RNAcentral's name for it is "HSALNT0317147". The record is from RNAcentral. Lineage: Eukaryota; Metazoa; Chordata; Mammalia; Primates; Hominidae.